This 749-nucleotide ribosomal RNA is filed under the name Clostridioides difficile. Its description in RNAcentral is "partial 23S ribosomal RNA". It matches the Rfam family "Bacterial large subunit ribosomal RNA", at positions 683 to 1440 of the family's 2925-position model. Lineage: Bacteria; Bacillati; Bacillota; Clostridia; Peptostreptococcales; Peptostreptococcaceae. The record is from RNAcentral.
UUUAACUGAGCGUUCAGUUACUUGACGUAGACCCGAAACCGGGCGACCUACCCAUGAGCAGGAUGAAGCGAAAGUAAAAUUUCGUGGAGGUCCGAACCCACGAGCGUUGAAAAGCUCGGGGAUGACUUGUGGGUAGCGGUGAAAUUCCAAUCGAGCCCGGAGAUAGCUGGUUCUCCCCGAAAUAGCUUUAGGGCUAGCCUCAAGGUGAGAGAUACGGAGGUAGAGCACUGAAUGUCCUAGGGGGUAUUGCACCUACCGAAGACUAUCAAACUCCGAAUGCCGUCAUCUUAUACUUGGGAGUCAGACUGUGGGUGAUAAGAUUCAUAGUCGAAAGGGCAACAGCCCAGAUCGUCAGCUAAGGUCCCUAAAUGUAAGUUAAGUGGUAAAGGAUGUGGGAUUGCACAGACAACCAGGAUGUUGGCUUAGAAGCAGCCACUCAUUCAAAGAGUGCGUAAUAGCUCACUGGUCGAGUGAUCCUGCGCCGAAGAUUUCCGGGGCUAAAACUUACUACCGAAGCUACGGCAUCAGUAAUGAUGGGUAGGGGAGCUUCCCAUACGGGUUGAAGCAUGACCGUAAGGACAUGUGGACAGUAUGGGAGUGAGAAUGUUGGCAUGAGUAGCGAGAUGUGGGUGAGAAUCCCACAGGCCGUAAACCCAAGGUUUCCAGGGGAAGGUUCGUCCGCCCUGGGUUAGUCGGGACCUAAGCUGAGGCCGAAAGGCGUAGGUGAUGGACAACAGGUUGAUAUUCCU